CUUUAUUUUGCUUUGUUUAUACACAUUAAGGUAGCAUUGGUGCCCCAAAGUAGUGCCACAUUUUAUUAAAGUUCCAUAAAAUUCACAGAGCAUGCGCAAAUCAAAGAGAGGAUAACACACCAAGGGAACCCAUUCCCGUGGUGAAAUAUAUUAAACAAGAUAAAUAUGUGAAUAUAAUAUAUUAUCGAAAAAUAUAAAUUAAAAAAUAUAUGUA
Long non-coding RNA from Drosophila mauritiana, 214 nucleotides. RefSeq lists it as uncharacterized. The record is from RefSeq and is a predicted model, not a curated record. The transcript has 2 exons. NCBI's taxonomy places the organism in Eukaryota, Metazoa, Arthropoda, Insecta, Diptera, Drosophilidae.